This 253-nucleotide ribosomal RNA is filed under the name uncultured bacterium. Its description in RNAcentral is "partial 16S ribosomal RNA". It matches the Rfam family "Bacterial small subunit ribosomal RNA", at positions 524 to 776 of the family's 1533-position model. The record is from RNAcentral.
UACGGGGGGGGUAAGCGUUGUUCGGAAUUACUGGGCGUAAAGGGCUCGUAGGCGGCCAACUAAGUCAGACGUGAAAUCCCUCAGCUUAACUGGGGAACUGCGUCUGAUACUGGAUGGCUUGAGUUUGGGAGAGGGAUGCGGAAUUCCAGGUGUAGCGGUGAAAUGCGUAGAUAUCGGGAGGAACACCAGUGGCGAAGGCGACUUCCUGGCCUGUUCUUGACGCUGAGGCGCGAAAGCUAGGGGAGCAAACGGG